GGAUGAACGCUGGCGGCGUGCUUAACACAUGCAAGUCGAACGAUGAACCUCACUUGUGGGGGGAUUAGUGGCGAACGGGUGAGUAACACGUGAGUAACCUGCCCUUAACUCUGGGAUAAGCCUGGGAAACUGGGUCUAAUACCGGAUAUGACUCCUCAUCGCAUGGUGGGGGGUGGAAAGCUUUUUGUGGUUUUGGAUGGACUCGCGGCCUAUCAGCUUGUUGGUGAGGUAAUGGCUUACCAAGGCGACGACGGGUAGCCGGCCUGAGAGGGUGACCGGCCACACUGGGACUGAGACACGGCCCAGACUCCUACGGGAGGCAGCAGUGGGGAAUAUUGCACAAUGGGCGCAAGCCUGAUGCAGCGACGCCGCGUGAGGGAUGACGGCCUUCGGGUUGUAAACCUCUUUCAGUAGGGAAGAAGCGAAAGUGACGGUACCUGCAGAAGAAGCGCCGGCUAACUACGUGCCAGCAGCCGCGGUAAUACGUAGGGCGCAAGCGUUAUCCGGAAUUAUUGGGCGUAAAGAGCUCGUAGGCGGUUUGUCGCGUCUGCCGUGAAAGUCCGGGGCUCAACUCCGGAUCUGCGGUGGGUACGGGCAGACUAGAGUGAUGUAGGGGAGACUGGAAUUCCUGGUGUAGCGGUGAAAUGCGCAGAUAUCAGAGGAACACCGAUGGCGAAGGCAGGUCUCUGGGCAUUAACUGACGCUGAGGAGCGAAAGCAUGGGGAGCGAACAGGAUUAGAUACCCUGGUAGUCCAUGCCGUAAACGUUGGGCACUAGGUGUGGGGGACAUUCCACGUUUUCCGCGCCGUAGCUAACGCAUUAAGUGCCCCGCCUGGGGAGUACGGCCGCAAGGCUAAAACUCAAAGGAAUUGACGGGGGCCCGCACAAGCGGCGGAGCAUGCGGAUUAAUUCGAUGCAACGCGAAGAACCUUACCAAGGCUUGACAUGAACCGGUAAUACCUGGAGACAGGUGCCCCGCUUGCGGUCGGUUUACAGGUGGUGCAUGGUUGUCGUCAGCUCGUGUCGUGAGAUGUUGGGUUAAGUCCCGCAACGAGCGCAACCCUCGUUCUAUGUUGCCAGCACGUGAUGGUGGGGACUCAUAGGAGACUGCCGGGGUCAACUCGGAGGAAGGUGGGGACGACGUCAAAUCAUCAUGCCCCUUAUGUCUUGGGCUUCACGCAUGCUACAAUGGCCGGUACAAAGGGUUGCGAUACUGUGAGGUGGAGCUAAUCCCAAAAAGCCGGUCUCAGUUCGGAUUGGGGUCUGCAACUCGACCCCAUGAAGUCGGAGUCGCUAGUAAUCGCAGAUCAGCAACGCUGCGGUGAAUACGUUCCCGGGCCUUG
Molecule: ribosomal RNA, 1343 nt
Filed under: Arthrobacter sp. ACT071
Lineage: Bacteria; Bacillati; Actinomycetota; Actinomycetes; Micrococcales; Micrococcaceae
Description: bacterial SSU rRNA
Rfam family: Bacterial small subunit ribosomal RNA
Source: RNAcentral